RNAcentral lists this ribosomal RNA (1071 nucleotides) under uncultured bacterium. Its description in RNAcentral is "bacterial SSU rRNA". It matches the Rfam family "Bacterial small subunit ribosomal RNA", at positions 357 to 1442 of the family's 1533-position model. The record is from RNAcentral.
GGGGAAAUGCCCCAAUGGACAAAAGUUUGAUGCAGCAAACCCGGCUGGAAGGAGACACCAUUUCGGGGCGUAAACUUCUUUUAUUUAGGAAGAUAAGGACGGUUCUAUAUGAUUAAGCACGGGUUAAUUCCGUGCCAGCAGCCGCGGUAAUACGGAGGGGCCAAGCGUUACUCGGAAUCACUGGGCGUAAAGAGCGUGUAGGCGGGUAUAUAAGUCAGAAGUGAAAUCCAAUAGCUAAACUAUUGAACUGCUUUUGAAACUGUAUACCUAGAAUGUGGGAGAGGUAGAUGGAAUUUCUGGUGUAGGGGUAAAAUCCGUAGAGAUCAGAAGGAAUACCGAUUGCGAAGGCGAUCUACUGGAACAUUAUUGACGCUGAGACGCGAAAGCGUGGGGAGCAAACAGGAUUAGAUACCCUGGUAGUCCACGCCCUAAACGAUGCACACUAGUUGUUGUGAGGCUCGACCUUGCAGUAAUGCAGUUAACACAUUAAGUGUGCCGCCUGGGGAGUACGGUCGCAAGAUUAAAACUCAAAGGAAUAGACGGGGACCCGCACAAGCGGUGGAGCAUGUGGUUUAAUUCGACGAUACACGAAGAACCUUACCUGGACUUGACAUAGUAAGAACUUUCUAGAGAUAGAUUGGUGUCUGCUUGCAGAAACUUAUAUACAGGUGCUGCACGGCUGUCGUCAGCUCGUGUCGUGAGAUGUUGGGUUAAGUCCCGCAACGAGCGCAACCCUCGUCAUUAGUUGCUAACAGUUCGGCUGAGAACUCUAAUGAGACUGCCUACGCAAGUAGGAGGAAGGUGAGGACGACGUCAAGUCAUCAUGGCCCUUACGUCCAGGGCUACACACGUGCUACAAUGGGGUAUACAAAGAGCAGCAAUACGGUGACGUGGAGCAAAUCUCAAAAAUAUCUCCCAGUUCGGAUUGUAGUCUGCAACUCGACUACAUGAAGUUGGAAUCGCUAGUAAUCGUAGAUCAGCUAUGCUACGGUGAAUACGUUCCCGGGUCUUGUACUCACCGCCCGUCACACCAUGGGAGUUGAACUCAUUCGAAGCGGGGAUGCAAAGUAG